This is an unclassified non-coding RNA of Pongo abelii (Sumatran orangutan), 154 nucleotides long. It matches the Rfam family "Metazoan signal recognition particle RNA". From Rfam's summary of the family: The signal recognition particle (SRP) is a universally conserved ribonucleoprotein. It is involved in the co-translational targeting of proteins to membranes. The eukaryotic SRP consists of a 300-nucleotide 7S RNA and six proteins: SRPs 72, 68, 54, 19, 14, and 9. The record is from Ensembl. Lineage: Eukaryota; Metazoa; Chordata; Mammalia; Primates; Hominidae.
GCCAGGCAAGGUGGCGCACGCCUGUAGUCCCAGCUACUUGGGAGGCUGAGGUGGGAGGAUUGCUUGAGCCCAGGAGGUAGAGGCUGCAGUGAGCCAAGACCGUGCCACUGCACUCCCAUUCCCACCUGGGCAACAAAGUGAGACCCUGUCUCAA